CCGAUAGUGAACCAGUACCGUGAGGGAAAGGCGAAAAGAACCCCGGCGAGGGGAGUGAAAAAGAACCUGAAACCGUGUACGUACAAGCAGUGGGAGCACGCUUAGGCGUGUGACUGCGUACCUUUUGUAUAAUGGGUCAGCGACUUAUAUUCUGUAGCAAGGUUAACCGAAUAGGGGAGCCGAAGGGAAACCGAGUCUUAACUGGGCGUUAAGUUGCAGGGUAUAGACCCGAAACCCGGUGAUCUAGCCAUGGGCAGGUUGAAGGUUGGGUAACACUAACUGGAGGACCGAACCGACUAAUGUUGAAAAAUUAGCGGAUGACUUGUGGCUGGGGGUGAAAGGCCAAUCAAACCGGGAGAUAGCUGGUUCUCCCCGAAAGCUAUUUAGGUAGCGCCUCGUGAAUUCAUCUCCGGGGGUAGAGCACUGUUUCGGCAAGGGGGUCAUCCCGACUUACCAACCCGAUGCAAACUGCGAAUACCGGAGAAUGUUAUCACGGGAGACACACGGCGGGUGCUAACGUCCGUCGUGAAGAGGGAAACAACCCAGACCGCCAGCUAAGGUCCCAAAGUCAUGGUUAAGUGGGAAACGAUGUGGGAAGGCCCAGACAGCCAGGAUGUUGGCUUAGAAGCAGCCAUCAUUUAAAGAAAGCGUAAUAGCUCACUGGUCGAGUCGGCCUGCGCGGAAGAUGUAACGGGGCUAAACCAUGCACCGAAGCUGCGGCAGCGACGCUGAUGCGUUGUUGGGUAGGGGAGCGUUCUGUAAGCCUGCGAAGGUGUGCUGUGAGGCAUGCUGGAGGUAUCAGAAGUGCGAAUGCUGACAUAAGUAACGAUAAAGCGGGUGAAAAGCCCGCUCGCCGGAAGACCAAGGGUUCCUGUCCAACGUUAAUCGGGGCAGGGUGAGUCGACCCCUAAGGCGAGGCCGAAAGGCGUAGUCGAUGGGAAACAGGUUAAUAUUCCUGUACUUGGUGUUACUGCGAAGGGGGGACGGAGAAGGCUAUGUUGGCCGGGCGACGGUUGUCCCGGUUUAAGCGUGUAGGCUGGUUUUCCAGGCAAAUCCGGAAAAUCAAGGCUGAGGCGUGAUGACGAGGCACUGCGGUGCUGAAGCAACAAAUGCCCUGCUUCCAGGAAAAGCCUCUAAGCAUCAGGUAACAUCAAAUCGUACCCCAAACCGACACAGGUGGUCAGGUAGAGAAUACCAAGGCGCUUGAGAGAACUCGGGUGAAGGAACUAGGCAAAAUGGUGCCGUAACUUCGGGAGAAGGCACGCUGAUAUGUAGGUGAAGUCCCUCGCGGAUGGAGCUGAAAUCAGUCGAAGAUACCAGCUGGCUGCAACUGUUUAUUAAAAACACAGCACUGUGCAAACACGAAAGUGGACGUAUACGGUGUGACGCCUGCCCGGUGCCGGAAGGUUAAUUGAUGGGGUUAGCGCAAGCGAAGCUCUUGAUCGAAGCCCCGGUAAACGGCGGCCGUAACUAUAACGGUCCUAAGGUAGCGAAAUUCCUUGUCGGGUAAGUUCCGACCUGCACGAAUGGCGUAAUGAUGGCCAGGCUGUCUCCACCCGAGACUCAGUGAAAUUGAACUCGCUGUGAAGAUGCAGUGUACCCGCGGCAAGACGGAAAGACCCCGUGAACCUUUACUAUAGCUUGACACUGAACAUUGAGCCUUGAUGUGUAGGAUAGGUGGGAGGCUUUGAAGUGUGGACGCCAGUCUGCAUGGAGCCGACCUUGAAAUACCACCCUUUAAUGUUUGAUGUUCUAACGUUGACCCGUAAUCCGGGUUGCGGACAGUGUCUGGUGGGUAGUUUGACUGGGGCGGUCUCCUCCUAAAGAGUAACGGAGGAGCACGAAGGUUGGCUAAUCCUGGUCGGACAUCAGGAGGUUAGUGCAAUGGCAUAAGCCAGCUUGACUGCGAGCGUGACGGCGCGAGCAGGUGCGAAAGCAGGUCAUAGUGAUCCGGUGGUUCUGAAUGGAAGGGCCAUCGCUCAACGGAUAAAAGGUACUCCGGGGAUAACAGGCUGAUACCGCCCAAGAGUUCAUAUCGACGGCGGUGUUUGGCACCUCGAUGUCGGCUCAUCACAUCCUGGGGCUGAAGUAGGUCCCAAGGGUAUGGCUGUUCGCCAUUUAAAGUGGUACGCGAGCUGGGUUUAGAACGUCGUGAGACAGUUCGGUCCCUAUCUGCCGUGGGCGCUGGAGAACUGAGGGGGGCUGCUCCUAGUACGAGAGGACCGGAGUGGACGCAUCACUGGUGUUCGGGUUGUCAUGCCAAUGGCACUGCCCGGUAGCUAAAUGCGGAAGAGAUAAGUGCUGAAAGCAUCUAAGCACGAAACUUGCC
This 2329-nucleotide ribosomal RNA is filed under the name Escherichia coli. Its description in RNAcentral is "partial 23S ribosomal RNA". It matches the Rfam family "Bacterial large subunit ribosomal RNA", at positions 484 to 2798 of the family's 2925-position model. Lineage: Bacteria; Pseudomonadati; Pseudomonadota; Gammaproteobacteria; Enterobacterales; Enterobacteriaceae. The record is from RNAcentral.